GGACCCGUAGAUCAAUUGGUUGGAUCAUCUGGCUCAUAACCAGAAGGUUGUCGGUUCAAGCCCGGACGGGUCCA
RNAcentral lists this transfer RNA (74 nucleotides) under Caudoviricetes sp. RNAcentral's name for it is "tRNA-Met". It matches the Rfam family "tRNA". From Rfam's summary of the family: Transfer RNA (tRNA) molecules are approximately 80 nucleotides in length. Their secondary structure includes four short double-helical elements and three loops (D, anti-codon, and T loops). Lineage: Duplodnaviria; Heunggongvirae; Uroviricota; Caudoviricetes. The record is from RNAcentral.